Molecule: long non-coding RNA, 2046 nt
Organism: Nannospalax galili (Upper Galilee mountains blind mole rat)
Lineage: Eukaryota; Metazoa; Chordata; Mammalia; Rodentia; Spalacidae
Exons: 3
Source: RefSeq, a predicted model, not a curated record
AAUAAUGGUAUCCUUUGUGUACAGAAGCUUUUUAGUUUCUUGAGGUUAUACUUACUAAUUGUUGGUCUUGAUGGCUGUGCUUUUAGAGUUCUGUUCAGAAAGUCCUAUGCCUAUACAUUUCUGUGUAUUUCCUUUCUCUUCUAUCAGAUUUCAAGUAUCACGUCUUAUGUUGAAGUCCUUGAUCCAUUUGGAACUGAGUUUUGAGCAAGGUUGAGAAGUCAAAAUUGAGGCCUCAGCAGAUUCAAGGUAUAGGAGGGCUGCUUUCCUGCUUUCUGCUGCAACAAUGUUUCCUUUGUCCACAUGGUCAAGAGAAGGAUUGAAGAUGUUGGCACAACCUUGGGAAGGAGUCUGGCACUGACCACCCCCCGGUGCCCUGCACCUCCUGCAGCCCCAAUAAGAGAGGCCCACCAACAUACAACGAGCACCACCAGAAGGCCCAGCCACCCUUGAGAGCCAAGCACACCCCACUGCGACCGUGACCGUGACCGUGAGGGAUGGACAGAGCUGCGUAGGGACAAGUCUCCUGGCUGCCCCCUGGAGCGUGAGAAGUCCCCAGGCGGGAUUCUCAGCACAAGGAGGGAGCGGUCCCCUGGGAGGUUGUUUGAAGACAGCUGCAGGGGACAGCUACCUGCAGGAGCUGUGAGAACCCCAUUGUCCUGGGUUAAUAAGGUCUGGGACCAGUCUUCAGUGUAAGUCUCAACCAGAAGAACCAACUCCUCAUCUCAGUCUGCAGGAAAACACCAUGCCAAGAAUCGCCACUGAAGGGGACCUUGGCAUCAUCUGGGCAGCCCAUUCUGGCACUGUUGGUCCCAGACUUCCCUGGCACGGACACCCGUCUCUAGGGGGUGCGGGUGGUCGAGGCUCUUCAGCGCUGGUAGGCUUGGUGCCCCCACCAGGGCUCCUUCCUGCAGUCAUCCUAAGAAAACAGACUUCUUAAUAGAUUUGAAUAGCGAUGUGUAAAAAAAAAAAUCUUUUAAAAGUGCAAUAAAAGAAUGAUCACGCUUCCUAACUUAAAAACUAGCCUCAUCUUUGUGAGGCUCUCCACCACAGAUCCAGUUGCAGGGAUUAGCUCCUCUGGAAUCUGCUUCAUUCGGGGUUCUGUGUGGAACCUCUGCUGGAGCAUAGUAGACCCACUUCCCAGGGGAUUCAGGUUUCUUGGAAACAAGCAGACCCUUUUGUGUCAUUGAAGAAAGUUGGAAAAGAUGCCAUUGUCUUACUCUGUAUCGCCACAUCACCCUCAUACUUUCCUGAAGCUGGAUAGCAUUGAAGCUUUUCCUUGUGGAUGCCCCUCAGGUGUGACCUCAGCAGCUUAGCUCUGUGGUGGACCUCUUGCAAAAACAGAGUGGAACAGCAACUAGGAAACUGGCAGGGCCACAACUUAUGGAACUGGGCCUUCAUAAAACCUUGAGUCCUCAGGAUUCAGAAUGCAUACAACUUUCAACAGGAUAUUAUCUGUAACUUUUUCCUGUUCCCUUAUUAAUUUUAAAACAACCAGACAUUGCAGAAUUAGCCAGAACACUGUUUCAAUUUUAUGUUGUAAAAAAAGAUUUAGUCUAUUUUAAAUUAUGUCUAUAUUGGUGGUGUGGGUAUAAGCAUGUGUGAGUAGAGGUCCCCACAAGGUCCUGAAGAGGGCAGCAGAUCCCCUUGAGCCUUCAAAUGUGGGUGCUGGAAACAGAUUUUGGCUGUUCUGCAAGAGCAGUAGUUGCUCUUAACUGCUGAGCCAUGUCUCCAGCCCCACUACACCAAGAUGGGCCGUUCUUUUCACCUUACACUCAAGGAUUUCUUCCAUUCUUGUUUUUCACUAAGUCCUUGAUGAGUUUGCACUUGGCCUAACCCAAAACAUUGGGAACAAAAAUAAGUACAAAUAAUGACCUGAGUCCAAGCUCGCAGAAUGACAAGGUAGGAAGCAGCAAGUGUUUAUCUGUGAACCUUCUCAUUGUUAAAAAGUGACUGAGGCAACUUAUAGAGAUGUGUAAGGAAAAUAAGAGAAAUCAAAUCUAAGCCUGGGGGAAGUUGAUACACAAAAUAGAUCUUAAGGUCUUUGGC